GCAUUCUAAAAAGUGUAGAAAACAGAUGAUCGCUGCUGGUGCCUGUGUACACUUGAAGAAACUUGUUGAGAUGGAUGUAGCGGGGGCAAAGAAACUUUUGGACGGUCUCGGGUGGGGUAAGAUUUGGGGCGUCUUUGCUAGGCCAUAGCAAUCAUACGAUUCUUGAAUUGGUGCAUUCAGAAACCUUGAUUAGAAGAUGAUUGGUUCAUCUUUAUGUACAUUAGCUGUGUUCAAAUUUACUUAUU
Molecule: unclassified non-coding RNA, 245 nt
Filed under: Hevea brasiliensis (rubber tree)
Lineage: Eukaryota; Viridiplantae; Streptophyta; Magnoliopsida; Malpighiales; Euphorbiaceae
Source: RNAcentral